AAUCCCUCCCCCUUCCUGAGUUACUCCCAACCCAACGCCUUAACCCUAUAAACUUCCCUCUCCUUCCCCUUCCCCUUCCCCCGAAUCCAUCCUACCUCGCCGCAACAAUCCAGAGAGAUCAUCGAGAGAGGAGUCCACCGGACCCAUGAGGAGCGGCGGCGACGUCAAGUCCUUCCGGCAGCGUCAAGCCCACCGGCGGCGUGCCGGCGUCUCCAAGAAGGCGCCCGCGUCGCAGGCGACGACAGAUCGCGCCGUCGAGGAGGCGGAGGAUGAGGGGCGAGAGAGGAUGGCUCGGGAGUUCGACAUGGACAUGCGGUAAGGAGCUAAGGGCCCUGCCUCGGCCUCACCCGCGCCGCCGCGCUCGGCCUCGCCCCACCGCCCGCCGUCAUCGCCUUCUGCUCCGACGACCAGCCAUGCCUCUGGGAGGGCCGCGUCUAGCUCUAGCAACACCAUCCACCACCACCCGAUCGGCCGAUCCGCUUCCAGAAAAUUAUAGUGUUUAUAAGUAGGAACAGCUUCUCCUCUGCUUCCAUCUGCCACGCCUCGUGGUGCUUGAUGAUCGUGUGUUCUUAUCUGAAAUUUAUGAUGUUAUUCUUCUCCCAGUUGGUAUGAUCUAUGGCAUUUUGAUUUGAUUACUACAAACUCUAAAAUCAUGGUAAAUUAAUCCAAACAUUUCAUUCCCUUA
Molecule: long non-coding RNA, 685 nt
Organism: Oryza sativa Japonica Group (Japanese rice)
Lineage: Eukaryota; Viridiplantae; Streptophyta; Magnoliopsida; Poales; Poaceae
Source: RefSeq, a predicted model, not a curated record